Molecule: long non-coding RNA, 1429 nt
Filed under: Limulus polyphemus (Atlantic horseshoe crab)
Lineage: Eukaryota; Metazoa; Arthropoda; Merostomata; Xiphosura; Limulidae
Description: uncharacterized LOC111089221, transcript variant X1
Source: RNAcentral
UCAAAAUUAGAAAGUAACAGUAAUUGGUGGUAUAAUCGACACAAGUUAUUAACCUUUCAAUAAAAUAAAUUAAGAAAAUAAAAAAAAAAGCUGUUAAGAACCAAAGGAUAGAAACAUUACAAAAGCUAAAAUUUUCAUAUAUCCCAUCGGGUUGGGUAGUUCCUAGGUCAAAUAUAAUUUUUUGUAUUUUAAAAUGUUUUAGGGUAUGGUUGUGCAUUGCCCGAAUCAUUGUAUCAACAAAAAUAUAUAUUAAAAAAUAUUUAACUCUAAUUAACACUUUGUUGGCUUCGGUGGUUAAAAUUACAAAAUACUCCUUAAUUCUAAUGAAAGUUUGAGAUUGAGAGGCAAAUAAAUUAAAUAGCAGUACUGUUAGGUGUGAUGGCCAGAGUGACUGAAAGAAGCAAUUUCAUUGGUUAUGUCUUAUGGUUGGACAUUUACGCGGUGUUUUUAAAAGUGAUACUAUUAGGCCUAACAGUUUUUCAUAAGCUUGCUUUUGUAUUUAAGUUUUAACGAACUUUAUCCAGCAGUAUUAUACAAAACAAUAUUUUGCAAACACAAGUUAUUCAAACAUUUGUAAGCACGAAAUUGUUGAUUACAAUAUAUAUAUAUAUAGUAGCUUUAUUAGCAACAUAUAAUUCAGAACUUCAACCAUUUAGUAAUAGUAUUAUUAAUAGCAAAACUACUAGUGACUACUACUAACGACUAAGAAGUCGUUAUCGUUUUCACGAUUACUAAACCUACCUGAUACUGAAGUAAUUACUGUUGGGGAAAACAUACCAAGUGGACAUUCUGAUAAUGACUUUGUGUGAGAACUUGUUAGAAAAAUUUAAUUCCCAUUUAGACCCAACUGAGAAGUUCAUAAACGGAGAACUUGACAAAUGUCAGCAGAAUGCACUGAUGUGUUUACAAUGCUUUAUAAAUAGUACAAAACACUGGGAUCGUGAGAAACGAGGAAUAGAAAAAUAUUUCCAAACACUAAAGGAAGAUGUAUAAGAACAGAAAAAAGUCAUAGAAAGUCAAGAAAGAAAAGAUCAAGAACUAAUCAAGUAGUUAAGUGAUAUUCAAGAAGAGAUAGAGCAUUUUCUUCUGGAAGAGAAAGAACUUCAAACACUUCUAAAUUCAACUGAAACUAGUCUUCGAAGAAAAAAAAUCAGGUAUUGAAGCCAAGGAAAAAUCAUCCCAUGAAGAAGUUUUACAGUGUGAGAAAGCUUUGUCUUACUUCCAACAAAGAUGAUUGGCUCACAUGCAUCUUCUCAUCCAUUGAUCAAAAUGAUGCAGAAAGAAAGUUUACUUUUGCACUAAAAGUGAAUGACAGAAAUAUUUUUGAAGGCAGGAGAUGUGUAUAAUAAUUUCCUUGUGAUGAUUGAAACACUUGUUUAAUAUUUUUUUCCCAUUAGAAGUUUAAAUUUGUAGCUUACAUAACUGUGAU